This 468-nucleotide ribosomal RNA is filed under the name uncultured bacterium. RNAcentral describes it as "bacterial SSU rRNA". It matches the Rfam family "Bacterial small subunit ribosomal RNA", at positions 35 to 535 of the family's 1533-position model. The record is from RNAcentral.
GCUGGCGGCGUGCCUAACACAUGCAAGUCGAACGAGAAAGUGGAGCAAUCCAUGAGUAAAGUGGCGACCGGGUGAGUAACACGUGACUAACCUACCUCCGAGUGGGGAAUAACUCCGGGAAACCGGGGCUAAUACCGCAUAACAUCGCAAGAUCAAAGCAGCAAUGCGCUUGGAGAGGGGGUCGCGGCUGAUUAGCUAGUUGGCGGGGUGACGGCCCACCAAGGCGAAGAUCGGUAUCCGGCCUGAGAGGGCGCACGGACACACUGGAACUGAAACACGGUCCAGACUCCUACGGGAGGCAGCAGUGGGGAAUUUUGCGCAAUGGGGGAAACCCUGACGCAGCAACGCCGCGUGGAGGAUGAAGCCCUUCGGGGCGUAAACUCCUUUCGACUCGGAUGAUAAUGACGGUACGAGUGGAAGAAGCACCGGCUAACUCUGUGCCAGCAGCCGCGGUAAUACAGAGGGUGC